UACAGAGGUCCCAAGCGUUGUUCGGAUUCACUGGGCGUAAAGGGUGCGUAGGCGGUCGGGUAAGUCUGAUGUGAAAUCUCACAGCUUAACUGUGAAACUGCAUUGGAUACUAUCCGGCUCGAGGAAUGGAGGGGAGACUGGAAUACUUGGUGUAGCAGUGAAAUGCGUAGAUAUCGGGAGGAACACCAGUGGCGAAGGCGAUCAUCUGGGAUUAACCUGACGCUGAGGAGCGAAAGCCAGGGGAGCAAACGGG
Molecule: ribosomal RNA, 253 nt
Filed under: uncultured bacterium
Lineage: Bacteria
Description: partial 16S ribosomal RNA
Rfam family: Bacterial small subunit ribosomal RNA
Source: RNAcentral